UCCCUGGUGGUCCAGUGGUUAGGACUUGGCACUUUCACUGCCCGGGCCCAGGUUCAAUCCCUGGUCAGGGAA
This 72-nucleotide transfer RNA is filed under the name Eschrichtius robustus (grey whale). It matches the Rfam family "tRNA". Rfam says of the family: Transfer RNA (tRNA) molecules are approximately 80 nucleotides in length. Their secondary structure includes four short double-helical elements and three loops (D, anti-codon, and T loops). Lineage: Eukaryota; Metazoa; Chordata; Mammalia; Artiodactyla; Eschrichtiidae. RNAcentral also lists the same sequence under 1 other name. The record is from Rfam by way of RNAcentral.